RNAcentral lists this unclassified non-coding RNA (292 nucleotides) under uncultured fungus. RNAcentral describes it as "sequence contains ITS1". Lineage: Eukaryota; Fungi. The record is from RNAcentral.
GGACUACUCGGGUAUCUAAUCCUGUUUGCUCCCCACGCUUUCGCAUCUGAGUGUCAGUAUCUGUCCAGGGGGCCGCCUUCGCCACCGGUAUUCCUUCAGAUCUCUACGCAUUUCACCGCUACACCUGAAAUUCUACCCCCCUCUACAGUACUCUAGCUUGUCAGUUUCAAAUGCGAUUCCUAGGUUGAGCCCAGGGCUUUCACAUCUGACUUAACAAACCACCUGCAUGCGCUUUACGCCCAGUAAUUCCGAUUAACGCUUGCACCCUCCGUAUUACCGCGGCGGCUGGCAC